This 468-nucleotide ribosomal RNA is filed under the name uncultured bacterium. RNAcentral's name for it is "partial 16S ribosomal RNA". It matches the Rfam family "Bacterial small subunit ribosomal RNA", at positions 28 to 507 of the family's 1533-position model. The record is from RNAcentral.
GAUGAACGCUGGCGGCGUGCUUAACACAUGCAAGUCGAACGGAAAGGCCAGUGCUUGCUCUGGUACUCGAGUGGCGAACGGGUGAGUAACACGUGGGUGAUCUGCCCUGCACUUCGGGAUAAGCCUGGGAAACUGGGUCUAAUACCGGAUAGGACAAUGGUUUGGAUGCCGUUGUGGAAAGUUUUUUCGGUGUGGGAUGAGCUCGCGGCCUAUCAGCUUGUUGGUGGGGUAAUGGCCUACCAAGGCGUCGACGGGUAGCCGGCCUGAGAGGGUGUACGGCCACAUUGGGACUGAGCUACGGGCCAGAGUCCUACGGGAGGCAGCAGUGGGGAAUAUUGCACAAUGGGCGCAAGCCUGAUGCAGCGACGCCGCGUGGGGGAUGACGGCCUUCGGGUUGUAAACUCCUUUCGCUAGGGACGAAGCGUAUUUGUGACGGUACCUGGAGAAGAAGCACCGGCUAACUACGUG